GUGAGUAUAGCUCAGUGAUAGAACGCAUGCUUAGCAUGCAUGAGGUCCUGGGUUCAAUCCCCAGUACUUCCA
This 72-nucleotide transfer RNA is filed under the name Camelus bactrianus (Bactrian camel). It matches the Rfam family "tRNA". Rfam says of the family: Transfer RNA (tRNA) molecules are approximately 80 nucleotides in length. RNAcentral also lists the same sequence under 2 other names. Lineage: Eukaryota; Metazoa; Chordata; Mammalia; Artiodactyla; Camelidae. The record is from Rfam by way of RNAcentral.